AAGAAAUUAGUUAAAUCUUAUAACAUUAAUAUGUCAUAUUAAAAUUAUUAAAUAUAAUAUUUCUUU
This 66-nucleotide transfer RNA is filed under the name Phyllomimus sp. YH-2018. RNAcentral describes it as "tRNA-Asp". Lineage: Eukaryota; Metazoa; Arthropoda; Insecta; Orthoptera; Tettigoniidae. The record is from RNAcentral.